CUCACCAAGGCGACGAUGCGUAGCCGACCUGAGAGGGUGAUCGGCCACAUUGGGACUGAGACACGGCCCAGACUCCUACGGGAGGCAGCAGUGGGGAAUAUUGCACAAUGGGGGAAACCCUGAUGCAGCAACGCCGCGUGAGUGAUGACGGCCUUCGGGUUGUAAAGCUCUGUCUUCAGGGAAGAAACAAAUGACGGUACCUGAAGAGGAAGCCACGGCUAACUAC
This 226-nucleotide ribosomal RNA is filed under the name uncultured bacterium. RNAcentral describes it as "partial 16S ribosomal RNA". It matches the Rfam family "Bacterial small subunit ribosomal RNA", at positions 264 to 504 of the family's 1533-position model. The record is from RNAcentral.